UACGUAGGGUGCAAGCGUUGUCCGGAAUUAUUGGGCGUAAAGAGCUUGUAGGCGGUUUGUCGCGUCUGCUGUGAAAUUUCGGGGCUCAACCCCGAACUUGCAGUGGGUACGGGCAGACUAGAGUGUGGUAGGGGAGACUGGAAUUCCUGGUGUAGCGGUGAAAUGCGCAGAUAUCAGGAGGAACACCGGUGGCGAAGGCGGGUCUCUGGGUAGUAACUGACGCUGAGGAACGAAAGCGUGGGUAGCGAACAGG
Molecule: ribosomal RNA, 253 nt
Filed under: uncultured bacterium
Lineage: Bacteria
Description: partial 16S ribosomal RNA
Rfam family: Bacterial small subunit ribosomal RNA
Source: RNAcentral